UGAGAGAGAGAGAUAAAAUAUGGGCAUAAAGGUGGAAAAAGUGUAGCUUAAAAGAACAUACCUUUCAGUCCACAUGAAUAUCAUAGGGAAAAAAAUUUUUGAUAUUAGCAACCAGCACGCACCAAUUUAAGCCAAUCUUUUUCUGCGCUGUUUAACACAGAUAUAACAGUAAACAAAAAGCAUUUUUCUGCCGGCCAUUGUUUCAAUAUCAAGCAGCCUUAUGAACCAGCGGCACCGCUCUGCAAUUGCGUCAGCCACCAAAAAAAAAAAAAAAAAACNAAUGUGAUAUUUCAUAUCCACCAAGAUUUGGCCCUUACGUAUACAACUUAUGCACCAGAAGUACUUUGCUCGUCGUCCCAAUCAUAAAACGUCUCAUGCUGUAAGUUAUCUGAUCACAUCAACCCUGUCAUGCUUUCUCCCAAUCAAAUACCUAAGCCAACAAUGGGAACCACAGAUGGGAGCUGUUUAACAGCGACUGAGUCCUUGCUUUCCCUUGUACAGGAAUAGUUGCUGCUCUUACUUGAUCUAUCGUGCUUUCUCAACCGAGACUUCCCAGAGUCGAAGUCCUGACUCUUACUAAUACCUGGCAUCCUUUUUUUCCUACUUACAUCCUGCAACAUUAUCUGAUCUUCAAUAGUUAAUGAUAGUGCACUGGAAGACUGAUGUCUUGGUUGUUCAUUCAACUUUUCAAGCGGUGUGCCGCUAGGAGAUUUAACAGAUGACUUCUUGUUAACACCACUAGCAACAGUCUUGGAUUUGUUGACCAGAUGAUGAAGCCACAAUACUAGUUCAAGAAUAUAGGCUUCUGUUGUCUCCUUGUUUGCAUGGUGGAGUGUCUCAAUCCGAAUUAUAUCAGCUGCACUGGCAGCAGGCUUCCGAUUUACCUCAGACCCAGUAUUUGCCCACUCUCCAACCCAACCAAAACCAUGAUGAGCUUUUGCUGUGUUAGUGGACAUCGGAACCAGCCACUGCAGAGUCUUUUCCAUCUCAUCUUUGAUUUCUGCAAUGGUGAGCUCCUCUUUAACUUGAAAAGAUUGUAAUUUGGAACGUAGAGCUGAUUUUAUGCUGGGUGGCAAGUUCAGGUAUAAUGAAUCCCUUGUAUUAGGAGGCAUAGAACUUGAUCGUGCCACAAGGGUAUCGAUUUGCAUAAUUAUAUUUGCAUAAUGCAAAGAAAGGCCAGCAGGUCCCAAUCUCUGGUGAUUGUUCUUAGAUACUUUUAUUGGACCAUUAGCAUCUUCACUACCAAAGAUGUUAUGAAUCUCCAAAAGUAAAAAGUGGACAAUAUCUACAAGCUUCCCCAUUACCUCUUCCAAACUUCUGGACCAGAGUGACUUUUUCCUCAAGUUUCGAACUUGUUUUCUUUGGCUUUUGAACUCUGCUCUUAAGGUCGCAAGGCUNNNNCCUUUUUGACCAGCACCUACAUUAUCAUCUUGGCGUUUACGCUGAUAUUCUUGCUCAAUUUUGUCCAAAACUUGCAAUUCAUGGUAAAGCUCAGCUGUAUGCUGAACUAAGGUCAUCAGAAGGUCUAUUACAGAAUCUGCCUCUUCCUGCAAUUGCUUUUGAGGAGUAAGAUCUCUGCUAAUUUUCUCAAAAUAACGGUCCAAGCUAUGCCAUUGAGUAUCUUUACAUCGAUUUCCAAAACGAACAACUUCUCCAGAGAAAAUUUUCAACUCCUCCCUCUUGUCAGCUGCAACAAUCUUCAAGAGUUCACCCAUAUCAUUUGAUAUUAGAUUUUGCACUCCUUCUGAAGGAAGCACUACUUCUUUCAAAUGUCUUAUAUUUCUUUUUGAAAGGGAAUGCAUAAGGCUGGAACCCUUAACAAUUGUGUUUGCCACCUCAAAAGCUAAUAUUGCAAGUUCAUUUCCUUUUGUUGCCACACCAGAUGCGAAUCCACUGUUGGGGUUUAAAUUUGUCAUGCUACUCCCAAGUGUGUCCAAGACCUCCACUGCUUUGCCUAUUCCAAGAGAGCCCAAACGUGAACUAACCUCUGAAACCUUGGCAACCGCAGACUGCCCAGACCGCAAGGAUCUUGACCUGAGAGAUGGAUAGCGAGGAAUUCCAUCAUAAAAAUCAUCCAAGGAAAAGGUUUCCUCUGACUGCUUGGGCUUGCGGUCUUGAGACCGCUUAUCCAUGCUUUCCCGAGCCAGAACCUCCGGUGGCCCAUCCAAAAUACUGCCCUCCGCAUUUUGCUGGUAUUCUUGCAAUGGCUUGCUCUUGUUCUUGCUGUUGCUACUAUAAUAAUCAACAUCCCCAUUCAAAUUCCCACCAUAACCAUAAAGUCUGUUUUUGGCAUCCAAAUUCUUGGAGCAAAGCCCUCCCAUGUUUCCCUAACUAUCCCUGAUUCAGUUCUGGUCAACCCAAAAGCAACUGCGAUCUUGCGAUUUUUAUAACGUAUUCUUAUAUAUCUACAUAAAAGAAAUGGUUGAAACUUGAAAGCAAACAAAAAUUAUAGCUUAC
This 2457-nucleotide unclassified non-coding RNA is filed under the name Hevea brasiliensis (rubber tree). The record is from RNAcentral. Lineage: Eukaryota; Viridiplantae; Streptophyta; Magnoliopsida; Malpighiales; Euphorbiaceae.